GGAUUAGGCAUGCAAGUCGUGCGCGAAACGUAGCAAUACGUGGAGAGCGGCGAAAGGGAGAGUAAUACAUGGUUAGCUGCCCUCGGGACUGGAAUAGCGGCGGGAAACUGCCGGUAAUGCCAGAUGACGUCUUCGGACCAAACGUGUAAACCGGCCCGAGGAGGCGACCGUGUCCUAUCAGCUUGUUGGCGGGGUAACGGCCCACCAAGGCAUAGACGGGUAUGGGGCGUGAGAGCGUGCCCCCACUCACUGGGACUGAGAACUGCCCAGACACCUACGGGUGGCUGCAGUCGAGAAUCUUCGGCAUUGGGCGCAAGCCUGACCGAGCGACACCGCGUGCGGGAUGAAGGCCUUCGGGUUGUAAACCGCUGUCGUAGGGGAGGAAGGUCUGGUGUAUAGCCAGGCUUGACCGAUCCUAGAAGGAAGGGCCGGCUAAUCUCGUGCCAGCAGCCGCGGUAAUACGAGAGGCCCAAACGUUAUUCGGAUUUACUGGGCUUAAAGAGUUCGUAGGCGGCGCAGAAAGUAGGGUGUGAAAGCCCUCGGCUCAACCGAGGAACUGCGCUCUAAACUGUCGCGCUUGAGGAAGCUAGAGGUGAGCGGAACUGAUGGUGGAGCGGUGAAAUGCGUUGAUAUCAUCAGGAACACCGGAGGCGAAGGCGGCUCACUGGGGCUUAUCUGACGCUGAGGAACGAAAGCCAGGGGAGCAAACGGGAUUAGAUACCCCGGUAGUCCUGGCCGUAAACGAUGAGCACUGGACCGGAGGGCUGCACAGCUUUUCGGUCGUAGCGAAAGUGGAAGUGCUCCGCCUGGGGAGUAUGGUCGCAAGGC
Molecule: ribosomal RNA, 828 nt
Filed under: uncultured planctomycete clone50
Lineage: Bacteria; Pseudomonadati; Planctomycetota; Planctomycetia; Planctomycetales
Description: bacterial SSU rRNA
Rfam family: Bacterial small subunit ribosomal RNA
Source: RNAcentral